Molecule: ribosomal RNA, 496 nt
Filed under: uncultured bacterium
Lineage: Bacteria
Description: partial 16S ribosomal RNA
Rfam family: Bacterial small subunit ribosomal RNA
Source: RNAcentral
GACGAACGCUGGCGGCGUGCCUAAUACAUGCAAGUCGAACGCUGAAGCGAGGAGCUUACUCUUCUUGGAUGAGUUGCGGACGGGUGAGUAACGCGUAGGUAACCUGCCUUGUAGCGGGGGAUAACUAUUGGAAACGAUAGCUAAUACCGCAUAAUAAUGGAUGACACAUGGCUUUUAUUUGAAAGGGGCAAUUGCUCCACCACAAGGUGGAACUGCGUUGUAUUGGCUAGGUGGUGAGGUAAUGGCCCACCUAGGCGACGUAAGAUAGCCGGCCUGGGGGGGUGAUCGGCCCAACCGGGACUGGAAACCGGCCCAACCCCCAUGGGAGGGGAGAAGGGGGGAAUUUUGGAGAAGGGGGCAACCCUGACCGAGCAACGCCGCGUGAGUGAAGAAGGGUUUCGGAGCGUAAAGCUCUGUUGUAAGUCAAGAACGGGUGUGAGAGUGGAAAGUUCACACUGUGACGGUAGCUUACCAGAAAGGGACGGCUAACUACGUG